AGCCUCAGAUGUCUGACAUGGUGACUACAUUUGCUUCAGGAUUUACUGACGGAUCUGUGAUUUUUCCAAGGACGCUUUGCUGUGGGCUUUACAGUGAAAGGAUCCCUGGAAGAUGAUUCUAGUUGCUGGGCCAAGGAUGAAACCCUGUGUCCCCUGCAGUGGAAGCAUGGAGUCACAACCACUGGGCUGCCAGGGAAGUCCCUCACUGCUGUUUCUUGAAGAUCUUUUCCUUUUGGUUGCACAGAAACUCUGAUGUCCACGGGUCACUAAUCUGCUGCACAGACCAGGAGAUGCCAGGGCUGAAGACUGUGGCCUUAGAACCCUGCUUGGAGCCACAUUCCAGCGCAUGUGGGGGCUCUCUCCAGAGACACGGUCACUUGAGUAAGUUACUUCCAUAAAAUGCAUCCCUGACAAGCACAGCGAGAGGAUCCUGCUGCACCCUGUGAUGUCACAGUCAGGACGGUUAUGCCCUGGUGUUGUCUCACUGCACUGGAGCGCGGUGGAAGGAGGCAACAAUGAUGGGA
Odocoileus virginianus texanus is the source of this 524-nucleotide non-coding RNA. Lineage: Eukaryota; Metazoa; Chordata; Mammalia; Artiodactyla; Cervidae. The record is from RefSeq and is a predicted model, not a curated record.